UUUGGCGGGGCUUUUGUCUCUCGCUGCAGCCAGAGCUUGGGAUCGCUUUCUGCUAUUCAACGUCCUCCACCUCUGCCCCCCUCUCGCCCCAGCCGGUGACAGGCUGUUGCCCUGUGAUCUGCAGGUCCUGGGACGUGCACAGACAGCUAAGAUGCCAGGACAUUCCAGAAGGUGGGAAAGGCACCUGAGUAAUUUGACUCUCCUGCCUGGACCCAGCGUACAGAUGGGAUUGUGCUUCAUUGCUGGACCCAGCAUUUAGGCCCACUACCUAUGAGAUUGCAUGCUCCUGCCUGGGCUGUGCCCACAGUGACCUUGUGACAUAUAUCUGCAUCCAUGACCUAAAAGAUGUGACACUUCUUGCCUGCAACCUGCCCUGCACAGGAAAGAUUGCGACUUCUCCCUGGAAGCAGACACCAGGGAUCGUCACUCCCGUGGAUGAUCAAAGGCGCCUGUAAUUUCAGCUACUCCGGGGGCUGAGGCAGGAGAAUCGCUUGAACUCGGGAAGCAGAAGUUGCAGUGAGCCAAGGUCGCACCACUGCACUCCAGCCCAGGCGACAUUGUGAGACUCCAUCUCAAAAAAAAAAAAAAGAAAAAAAGUGUACUAACAAGACCCAGCACACAGAGGAGACUUUUACCAUUGUAUGAACACCCAUCAAACAGUACACAUCAUCAUUGUGAGUUCUGAAUCUCACACAUAGAGGAAGUCAAAGGUGGAAAACUUGACUCUCAUAUUUGGAUCCAGUCCACAGGUGUGAUUUUGACGCACACUUCUGCCCAGCACCUGAGUAAUGUGAUUCUUCAGAAUUGGCCCGGCCCACAAAUAGGAUUGUGCCACACUGCUGGACCCAGUGCCUAAGUGAUGUAACUCUAUUCUUCUGCCUUGGUGCUACUCGAAAAAGACAUUGUAACAUAUCUCAGAGCCUUACACCCAGGUAAUGUGAGUCUCCUCUUCUGCCUUGCUGCUGCACACAGAAGCGGAAUAUGUACAGGAUUGUUAAUCUCAUCUUGGAUCUUCCUGCACUUGUGAUUGUGACACAUGCCUCUGUGUAGAACCUGAGUGAGUUUACUCUCCUGCCUGGAUUUAACCCAUAGAUGGAAUCGUGACAUAUCACUGUACCAGAAACUAGGUGAUGUGACUCUAUUUUCUUGCCUCUGUGUUUUUAUAUGGGGCAUCGUGACAUAUCACUGGGCCUUGCACCCAAGUGAUGGGAGUUUUCUCUCCUGCUUUGGUGCCGUCCACAAUGAAAAUUGUGAAAUAUUGCUGCCCUCCCCACUAGGUUAUGUUACUCUCCUGCCUCUGCUUUGCCCACAUGGGUCACUGUGACAUAUUGCUGGGUCUAAAACCCAGGUAAUGUCACUCUCUUGUUUGGGUUCUGCCUGCAGGAGUCAUUGUCACAUAUCUCUAUGCUCAUCACCCAGGUAAUAUGAUUCCCUUUUACUGCUUAGUUCCUUCUCACAAAACAACUUGUGACAUAUUGCUAGGCCCAAUACACCUAGCUGGUGUAACUCUUCUUUUCUUUUCUUUCCUUUUUUUUUUUUUUUUUUUGAGAUGGAGUCUCACUCUGUUGCCCAGGCUGGAGUGCAGCGGCAUGAUUUCAGCUCACUACAGCCUCUGCCUCCUAGGUUGAAGCGAUUGUCCUGACUUGGCCUCCCAAGUAGCUGGGAUUAAAGGCAUGUGCCACCACGCCCGGCUAAUUUUUGUAUUUAUAGUAGAGACAGGGUUUCGCCAUGUUGGCUAGGCUGGUUUCGAACUUCUAACCUCAGGUGAUCCUCCUGCCUCGGCCUCCCAAAGUACUGGAAUUACAGGCAUGAGCCACUGCACCUGGCCUGAUUCUUCUCUUCUUUCUAGGUUUCAACUGCAGCAGAGAUUGUAACAAACCACUGGGCCCAGCCGCAUAAUGAUGUUACUCUUUUGCCUUGGGCCUGCCCUCAGAAGGCACUGUCACAUAUUCAUGGGCCCAACGCCAAGGUGAUAUGUGUCUCCAGCCUGGACCCUGCCCACAGGGGGCAUUGUGACAUAUCUCUUGGCCCAUCAGAUGUUUGAUUGUUAUCCCCUCCCCUCUUCUACCCUGUGUUUGCCUAUAAAAGACACAGUCAUAUGUUCCUGGGCCCAGCACCUAGGUGUUGUCUUACUGGAAUGUGUCCACAUGGGGAUUGUGAUAUGUCACGUGGCCCAGUACUUAACUUGAUGUGACUCUCCUCUCAUGCCUAGGCCUUGUAGAGAAUCCCCUUCCCCUUUUGUUUUCCUUUUUUUCUUUGCAGAUCCAGGAGAUAAUCAACUAAGAGCCAGGCACCCGUUUAGGUCUAAUAAACAUUUUACAAACUGCUCUCUCUUUUAAUUCACCUAUCUGAGAGAUUCCUCUGUACAAUAAAACUUGGUCUCCACAAUCCUUUACCUUAACCUAAACCUUCCCUUUCAUUGAUCCCAGGUCUUCAGAUUCCACCACUUGUCAACCACAAAAUAUUUAAAUUUACCUGGAAGCCGCCCGCUUUGAGUUGUCCCGCCUUUCUGAACCAAACCAAUAUAUUCCUGCAAAACCGGCCAUGAUUAAAACAUCAAAAAA
This 2564-nucleotide long non-coding RNA is filed under the name Homo sapiens (human). Its description in RNAcentral is "long independently transcribed non-coding RNA 1224 (LINC01224)". Lineage: Eukaryota; Metazoa; Chordata; Mammalia; Primates; Hominidae. The record is from RNAcentral.